AAGAAUCUACAUUCAAUAAGCGGAGGAAAAGAAACUAACAAGGAUUCCCCUAGUAACUGCGAGUGAAGCGGGAAAAGCUCAAAUUUAAAAUCUGGUGGUCUUUGAUCAUCCGAGUUGUAAUUUAGAGAAGUGUCUUCUGCGCUGGACCGUGCACAAGUCUCCUGGAAUGGAGCGUCAUAGAGGGUGAGAAUCCCGUCUUUGGCACGGACACACCAGGGCUUUUGUGAUGCGCUCUCAAAGAGUCGAGUUGUUUGGGAAUGCAGCUCAAAAUGGGUGGUGAACUCCAUCUAAAGCUAAAUAUUGGCGAGAGACCGAUAGCGAACAAGUACCGUGAGGGAAAGAUGAAAAGCACUUUGGAAAGAGAGUGAAACAGUACGUGAAAUUGUUGAAAGGGAAACGCUUGAAGUCAGUCGCGUCGGCCGAGACUCAGCCUUGCCUUGGCUUGGUGUACUUCUCGAUCGACGGGUCAGCGUCAAUUUUGCCCCUUGGAUAAUGGCGAGGGAAAUGUGACACCUUUACAGGUGUGUUAUAGUCUCUCGUCGCAUGUGAGGGUCGGGAUUGAGGAACUCAGCACGCGCCUUUGGGUGUCGGGGCUUUGCCCACGAUACGUGCUUAGGAUGUUGGCGUAAUGGCUUUAAACGACCCGUCUUGAAACACGGACCAAGGAGUCUAACAUGCCCGCGAGUGUUCGGGUGGAAAACCCGUGCGCGCAAUGAAAGUAAAAGUUGGGACCUCUGUCAUGGAGGGCACCGACGCCCGGACCAGACCUUCUGUGACGGCUCUGCGGUAGAGCGUGUAUGUUAGGACCCGAAAGAUGGUGAACUAUGCCUGAAUAGGGUGAAGCCAGAGGAAACUCUGGUGGAGGCUCGUAGCGAUUCUGACGUGCAAAUCGAUCGUCAAAUUUGGGUAUAGGGGCGAAAGACUAAUCGAACCAUCUAGUAGCUGGUUCCUGCCGAAUUUUCCCUCCGGA
Molecule: ribosomal RNA, 970 nt
Filed under: Russulaceae sp.
Lineage: Eukaryota; Fungi; Basidiomycota; Agaricomycetes; Russulales; Russulaceae
Description: partial large subunit ribosomal RNA
Rfam family: Eukaryotic large subunit ribosomal RNA
Source: RNAcentral